This 310-nucleotide ribosomal RNA is filed under the name uncultured eukaryote. Its description in RNAcentral is "partial 18S ribosomal RNA". It matches the Rfam family "Eukaryotic small subunit ribosomal RNA", at positions 1470 to 1796 of the family's 1831-position model. The record is from RNAcentral.
CCCUUAGAUGUUCUGGGCUGCACGCGUGCUACACUGAUUAUUUCAACAAGUGUUUUAACUGGAGAGUUCGCGUAAUCCUGAAAUGUUAUCGUGAUGGGAGUAGAGUAUUGUAUUUGUUAACCUUUAACGAGGAAUUCCUAGCAAGUGUAGGUUUAUAAGUUGUUCUGAUUACGUCCCUGCCCUUUGUACACACCGCCCGUCGCUCCUACCGAUUGAUUGAUCCGGUGAAUUACAUAGAAUUUUGCGUUUUACAUGACGGAAGACGAAGUGUUUUAAACCUUAUCAUUUAGAGGAAGGAGAAGUCGUAACA